UACGUAGGAGGCGAGCGUUGUCCGGAAUUACUGGGCGUAAAGAGCGCGUAGGCGGCGCGGUACGACCGCUGUGAAAGCCCCCAGCUCAACUGGGGAGGGUCAGCGGUAACGGCCGUGCUUUGAGUGCAGGAGAGGGAAGUGGAACUCCGGGAGUAGCGGUGAAAUGCGUAGAGACCCGGAGGAACACCAGUGGCGAAGGCGGCUUCCUGGUCUGCGACUGACGCUGUGGCGCGAAAGCUAGGGGAGCAAACGGG
This 254-nucleotide ribosomal RNA is filed under the name uncultured bacterium. Its description in RNAcentral is "partial 16S ribosomal RNA". It matches the Rfam family "Bacterial small subunit ribosomal RNA", at positions 524 to 776 of the family's 1533-position model. The record is from RNAcentral.